GGGCUAUAGCUCAGCUGGGAGAGCGCUUGCAUGGCAUGCAAGAGGUCGACGGUUCGAUCCCGUCUAGCUCCACCA
This 75-nucleotide transfer RNA is filed under the name Serratia marcescens. RNAcentral describes it as "tRNA-Ala". It matches the Rfam family "tRNA". From Rfam's summary of the family: Transfer RNA (tRNA) molecules are approximately 80 nucleotides in length. Their secondary structure includes four short double-helical elements and three loops (D, anti-codon, and T loops). RNAcentral also lists the same sequence under 1 other name. The record is from RNAcentral. Lineage: Bacteria; Pseudomonadati; Pseudomonadota; Gammaproteobacteria; Enterobacterales; Yersiniaceae.